CUCGUAGGCGGUUCGGCAAGUCGGAUGUGAAAUCUCCACGCUUAACGUGGAGGGGCCAUUCGAAACUGCCGUGACUCGAGUCCGGUAGGGGAGGUGCGGAAUUCCCGGUGUAGCGGUGAAAUGCGCAGAUAUCGGGAGGAACACCAGUGGCGAAGGCGGCACUCUGGGCCGGAACUGACGCUGAGGAGCAAAAGCGUGGGGAGCGAACA
RNAcentral lists this ribosomal RNA (209 nucleotides) under uncultured bacterium. RNAcentral describes it as "partial 16S ribosomal RNA". It matches the Rfam family "Bacterial small subunit ribosomal RNA", at positions 568 to 774 of the family's 1533-position model. The record is from RNAcentral.